GCUUGUCUCAAAGAUUAAGCCAUGCAUGUCUAAGUGUAAAUAAGUCUAUACUGUGAAACUGCGAAUGGCUCAUUAAAUCAGUUAUCGUUUAUUUGAUGAUCUCUUACUACUUGGAUAACCGUAGUAAUUCUAGAGCUAAUACAUGCACAAAAUCCCGACUUACGAAGGGAUGUAUUUAUUAGAUUCAAAGCCAACCGUGUAAAAAGCGUACCUUGGUGAUUCAUAAUAACUUGUCGAACCGCACGCCCUUGAGGCAGCGGUGAUUCAUUCAAAUUUCUGCCCUAUCAGCUUUCGACGGUAGUGUAGUGGACUACCGUGGCGUUAACGGGUAACGGAGAAUUAGGGUUCGAUUCCGGAGAGGGAGCCUGAGAAACGGCUACCACAUCCAAGGAAGGCAGCAGG
Molecule: ribosomal RNA, 402 nt
Filed under: uncultured Cryptophyta
Lineage: Eukaryota; Cryptophyceae
Description: partial small subunit ribosomal RNA
Rfam family: Eukaryotic small subunit ribosomal RNA
Source: RNAcentral